UAAUUAGUUGGCAACAGCAAAUCAUUAAUAGGGAAUUUGCUCGUGUAAAAUCAGUCUGUCCGUGUUCUUUUCAGUUCAUAACGUUGUUGCAGAAACACGUGGUGAAGAGUGUGAUUAUUGAAUUUAAAGCGAAGUACGAAAGUAAUUACAAUGCCUCUUGCUAAAGAUUUUCUUCAUCCAAGUCCAGCUGAAGAAAAAAGAAAGCACAAGUUAAAAAGACUUGUACAAAAACCAAAUAGCUAUUUUAUGGAUGUGAAAUGCCCUGGAUGUUAUGCCAUCAAAACCAUCUUUUCACAUGCACAGAGGUCGGUAGAAUGUGAUGGAUGUCGUACAAUAUUAUGCACAUCUACAGGUGGCAAAGCACGAUUGACAGAAGGUUGCUCAUUUAGGAGAAAGGUCCAAUGUUAAUGUAACCACGAUUAAGGCAACAUAAUGAUAUACACAGACAUUUCUCUUUAUAUUCAAUAAAUAAACAGAAUUAUUGUAAAAAUUAA
Long non-coding RNA from Bombus terrestris (buff-tailed bumblebee), 494 nucleotides. RefSeq annotates it as 40S ribosomal protein S27. The transcript is spliced from 2 exons. The record is from RefSeq and is a predicted model, not a curated record. Lineage: Eukaryota; Metazoa; Arthropoda; Insecta; Hymenoptera; Apidae.